Long non-coding RNA from Acanthopagrus latus (yellowfin seabream), 4068 nucleotides. RefSeq lists it as uncharacterized. The transcript has 2 exons. Lineage: Eukaryota; Metazoa; Chordata; Actinopteri; Spariformes; Sparidae. The record is from RefSeq and is a predicted model, not a curated record.
CUGUGAUUUCCAGAGUUUCCUGAAAGCAGCAUGUAACUGUUUCUGAAACUAGCCAAAAGUUGGCUGGCUAGCAAACGGCUCAGCAGCCUCUACAGACAUUGUGACAGAGGCUGAGAGACUGAAGACGACAUUGACGGAGGAAUCUGAGGAGAAAAAGAAACAAUGAGAGGCAAAAGUAAAAACUCAGGCUGGCUGAAGACGGCGCCAAUAAAUGCCAGGCUGGACGUGUUGCUGUUGAGUAGUCUGUUUGGCAUGCAGGAGGCUCCUGAGGCCUGGCGCGUCUAAAGGGCAGGGCGCCCAGAGGCAGGAGACGCGCCCUCACUGACAAACACCAUCUACCCCAGACCCCCGAGCUGCUACGAGGAGCCACAACACCAGCCACAGCUCCACGACCAGGUUUUGCCUCAUACAUCUCCACAAACGUACACAUCUACACCCUCAGUCUGAGUGCUGGGGCCAUAACCUCUGCUUAUUUGGAGAGCAGCUUGCUCAUCUGCUCAGGUGUUAAAUGCCAGGCGUAUGGAUCAAAGCAUCUGCCUUGAGAAACUGCAUUAACUAUGGAUUGGCCUUCUCCUGGUUGAGAGGAGAUUUUUUGGGGGGGUGAAACAGUGACAAAGAGCGGAGGUUGCAGAGGAAGGAUGGAGGACAGAGGGAGUUAUGGAGGUGCAGCUGUCUUCGUGUCUCCCUCCAUCCCUCACUCUAUUAUUCCCACCCAUAUUUUUUUUUACUCUUUCAAAUGCAUUUACAUGUGCUCAGGUAUUUCCCCCGGGAGCGCGACUCCAAUUCAGGGGGUAAGAUAAGCCAUCAAAGUCGGUGACAGAGAGGGCAUAUGGGUGACUCAAUGACAGGCUGAGUAGAAAGACAGUCAGGAGAGCUGCCACGACACGCAGACACACACACACACACACACACACAUCCACAUUGACACAAACAGCGCGCAAUGAUUUCAUCUGCACAAGCCGCACCUUUACUUCGCAGUAUAAAGACUCCACAGGAAAAAGAAGACAUUAAGAGGAAAACAGAGGUGCAGCUCCAUUCACAGCACGCGCGCACACACACACACACACACACACACACACACACACACACACAGUACAUACGGUUUUGCACGUACAAUGGCAUUUUCUCCCCAACAACUGCUCUUGUUUAGUAUGCGCUUCCUUUGGUCUUGAGGAGGAAUGAUCCUCACUCUAAUGAACUAGGGCCUGCCACUUGAAUGUAAAACAGGAUUUAACCCGUCUUCAAUGUCAGAGCCCCUCCCUGGGGCUGCUUCAGACAACACACACACACACACACACACACACACACGCUUGCAAAUUCACAGAGAUGCACACACAUACACAGACACACUUGCAAACUGCCAAUGCACAUACAUACACACGUUGAUGCAUGCCCACAUGUAGCCUCUCAUAAAUGAGACACAGUGUGUGUUCGCUCUCACCUGCUUCACCAUUUCCCCCUUUUAUUAACGAUCAAUAUUGUUGUGUUUUAUUGUGUGUUUUAUUGUGUUUUGUCCACUCCGGGGAUAUUCAAGAUCGCCCACCUGCUUCGCUGAUGACACAGACAUCUUUUAUUCAUUCCGCCGCUGAUUCGUCCCUUGUGUUUGCUACUCUUGGCCGUGUUGUUGGUUGAAUUUUGUGUCAUAUGAAUGUCUGCUCCACGUCGGAAGAGUUGGUGUUUUGUGAAGGAGACUAACAAAUCAAACAUAUGCAAAUGUGGCUUGGAACAAACUUGAUUACCUUAAAAUAUGUGUCCCAAAUGAUCCCACAAAAACUUAAUUAACUGCGUCAAACAUACGCUGAAUCAUGCCAUUCCAUACAUCUUAAUGGCUGAAGUGAUGUGCAGCACGGAUGCAAGAAAGAAUAUGACAAAGCCUUUGAGUUGUGCUCCUCUACUGGAAUAUUUUAUUGUUAUUGUCAUCUGUAUCACUGUUCUUCUUUUUUACAUUUGUUCAUUUUAUCUGAUGAGCGGGUGGAGUAUUCACAAAGAUGGGAGGAUAACGUUAGCUUCACAGUGAUGGGCAAGGGGUUAGCUGUUUAAUUCAACCAAAAUGUAACAGACAGAAAUAAAACAAACAAACAAAAAAAAGCAUACACACUUGUACAAGCCAGUGCGCACGCACACAGUAUAUCAUUGAACACCCAAAAGUAUGUGUGACAGCUACAGUAUGGGUGUGUAGUGCACAUCGUAUCUGAACAAAUACUUUUUAAUUUUUUUUUUCAUAGAUUUUCAUGUAAACUCAUCCCUCGGGUCAGACAGGCGACUGUAAUCUCAAACUGGGAGCAGAAUAAAAACAGCGUACGUACAGUGUCUGUCAUUAUGGCAUCACUUUAAAAGAAAUGUAGGUGUUAUUUUCACCAAAUGUUGGAUCAGUUAGAAGGAUUUUAUUUCAAAGUGCUGGAGAAUUAUCUGAUGUUUUGAGUACUUGUAUCAUUGAUCAUUAUUAUUAUUGCGUUUCUGUGUGUGUGCGUGUGUGUGAAAAUUAGAUUUUUUUUUUUAAAAGUGUGUUUGGCUGUAUUGACACCGGCAUUUUGUCAAAAAGUGGUCAAUUUUUCAAAUGUUAAAGGGGCACUACGUAGUUUUGGAACAGAAAUUAAAACUAAGAAUUUUAACAUGAGGUAACAAUAUCAAUUCAGAAAUAGUUAUUUGUUCCAUAACUGAAUAAACAAGCUGUUCUCAGAAGGAAAUCAGAUCCACAGAACACUGUUUGAAGCUAGAAAGGUGUCAGGGUCUGCCACAUAUGAAGUAAACACUAUGAGAUUGUGUUGUUGCAUAAGUCAGUUUGCUUACUCAGUUUAUUCAGUCAUGAAGACAAAGAGAGUUUAUUUAGUUUGUUUAGACAUAAAAACAUCAGUCAGAGAAGAUCUUUGUCUUUGACUUAAAAGUUCUUCCCAAAAACUACAUUGUGCACCUUUAAAUAUCACAUUUAGUAACAGAGAUUCUCUCCUGUUUGAGCAUCUUUUAGACGGCACUAUUGUUUGUGACUCACUUCAGUUCAAAUGAGAGAUAAAAUAUUCUGAUCAGUAAUUUAAAAAAAAAAAAAAAACAGUUUUAUUAUUUUCAUAUAAAAGUUGUUUUGUAUUUGUUUGUUUUAUUUUUUUCAGUCGUGAAAGGAAUUCCAAUCAAUCCGCAUUACGCAGAAAUUAAAAGUGUUUCGUGUUUCCACUUCUGAAUCUAAAACUUCCUGAACUGAAAACAAUAUCCGAACAAUUCAGGGCGAUGUUUUUAUUGACCUCUGACGGUCAUCUUUUUAAUGACCACAUGGGGUCUGUUUACUUCUCUGACCGUUUAUCCUUCUCUAGCACACCGUGGCCAGGCUAUGAUAUUAGUGACCACUCUUGCAUUGUUUUCUGUUUUAACAGGAUCACACAGGGAGUGUUAAGUGAUGAAGUGCUUUGAGUUCACAGCAGAACAAAUUUCAGUAAGUGCUCAGAAAAAACACAGAGGCUUUAAAUGAUAAUAAACACUCAUGUCCAGCACCGUUUUCCCCCUCUUCCUAAAAACAUUUUCAGAAAUAUCUUUUUUUUUUCAGAAUAAUAAAAAAGUACUUGGAUGAUAUUAUACAUCCAGUAAAACAAUGUUAUUCUGUCUGUCUAGAAACAUUUUUCCACACAAUCGCCGUCCUUCCUUUUUAUCUGGUGAAAAAUAUCAAAAAUCAAUAAAAAAAGAAAUUAAAAAAAAAAGAAUAUGGCUUUCACACACAAACACAACCGCAGCAUCAUACAUAAUAUACUAUAAUUAAUUCUCAGUUAAACAAAUGGCCUUCCUAUGAUCAAACAACAGAAGUAGAGUCCUGUCUGCAUUGCAUUUUCUUCCCUUAUACAUAAUGGAAUGUCUGGGACGACAUUAGUCAUAUUUUUGUCCCAACAGUGUGCUUUAAGUAUGGCUGACUGAUGUAUACAUGGAUUUUUUAAAUUUUUUUUCAUAAUUAUCAUUACUUUGAAUCUCAAUACAAAAACACCAGAGGGCUGUCUCCAGCUAUUUUUAAGGGGAAACCCUAUAAUCACCUGCAGUGUAAGAGACGAUUUGUGUAAUACUGCAAUAAUAAAAAUUUAUAUUCCAAAGUCA